RNAcentral lists this ribosomal RNA (497 nucleotides) under uncultured bacterium. RNAcentral's name for it is "partial 16S ribosomal RNA". It matches the Rfam family "Bacterial small subunit ribosomal RNA", at positions 28 to 507 of the family's 1533-position model. The record is from RNAcentral.
GACGAACGCUGGCGGCGUGCCUAAUACAUGCAAGUUGAGCGAUGAAGCUUGGUGCUUGCACCAAUUUGAAGAGCAGCGAACGGGUGAGUAACGCGUGGGGAAUCUGCCUUUGAGCGGGGGACAACAUUUGGAAACGAAUGCUAAUACCGCAUAACAACUUUAAACAUAAGUUUUAAGUUUGAAAGAUGCAAUUGCAUCACUCAAAGAUGAUCCCGCGUUGUAUUAGCUAGUUGGUGAGGUAAAGGCUCACCAAGGCGAUGAUACAUAGCCGACCUGAGAGGGUGAUCGGCCACAUUGGGACUGAGACACGGCCCAAACUCCUACGGGAGGCAGCAGUAGGGAAUCUUCGGCAAUGGACGAAAGUCUGACCGAGCAACGCCGCGUGAGUGAAGAAGGGUUUCGGAUCGUAAAACUCCGUUGGUAGAGAAGAACGUUGGUGAGAGUGGAAAGCUCAUCAAGUGACGGUAACUACACAGAAAGGGACGGCUAACUACGUG